GGAUUGUGGCUCAGUGGUAGAGCGCUCGCCUAGCACUGGCGGGACCCGGGGUUCAAUCCUCAGCACCA
RNAcentral lists this transfer RNA (68 nucleotides) under Marmota monax (woodchuck). Its description in RNAcentral is "tRNA.Ala". Lineage: Eukaryota; Metazoa; Chordata; Mammalia; Rodentia; Sciuridae. The record is from RNAcentral.